RNAcentral lists this small nuclear RNA (108 nucleotides) under Octodon degus (degu). Lineage: Eukaryota; Metazoa; Chordata; Mammalia; Rodentia; Octodontidae. The record is from RNAcentral.
GUGCUCACUUCAGCAGCACAUAUACUAAGAAUUGGACUGAUACAGAGAAGAUUAGCACGUUCCCUGUGCAAGGAUGACAUGCAAAUUCGUGAAGCAUUCCAUAUUUCC